AUUGAACGCUGGCGGCAGGCCUAACACAUGCAAGUCGAGCGGAUGAAGGGAGCUUGCUCCUGGAUUCAGCGGCGGACGGGUGAGUAAUGCCUAGGAAUCUGCCUGGUAGUGGGGGAUAACGUCCGGAAACGGGCGCUAAUACCGCAUACGCCCUGAGGGAGAAAGUGGGGGAUCUUCGGACCUCACGCUAUCAGAUGAGCCUAGGUCGGAUUAGCUAGUUGGUGGGGUAAAGGCCUACCAAGGCGACGAUCCGUAACUGGUCUGAGAGGAUGAUCAGUCACACUGGAACUGAGACACGGUCCAGACUCCUACGGGAGGCAGCAGUGGGGAAUAUUGGACAAUGGGCGAAAGCCUGAUCCAGCCAUGCCGCGUGUGUGAAGAAGGUCUUCGGAUUGUAAAGCACUUUAAGUUGGGAGGAAGGGCAGUAAGUUAAUACCUUGCUGCUUUGACGUUACCAACAGAAUAAGCACCGGCUAACUUCGUG
Molecule: ribosomal RNA, 484 nt
Filed under: uncultured bacterium
Lineage: Bacteria
Description: partial 16S ribosomal RNA
Rfam family: Bacterial small subunit ribosomal RNA
Source: RNAcentral